RNAcentral lists this ribosomal RNA (499 nucleotides) under Triatoma matogrossensis. RNAcentral's name for it is "eukaryotic LSU rRNA". It matches the Rfam family "Eukaryotic large subunit ribosomal RNA", at positions 444 to 721 of the family's 3401-position model. The record is from RNAcentral. Lineage: Eukaryota; Metazoa; Arthropoda; Insecta; Hemiptera; Reduviidae.
UUUUAAAUGAUUUGAGAUGGCCUCUCGCCCUAUUCAGUGUAACAGCUGUGGUAGUGGGUUUGGUCGCUCGCAUUUAAAUUGGAAGGGUAAUGGUGGACCGCACUUCUCCCUUAGUAGGACGUUGCGACCUGUCAAAUAAUAUCCUAAGUAUUUGGCUAAUUUGUCUGUUUUUAGGCAGUACUGAAAGGUAUUUCCUUUAACAGUUUUAGCCGUUAACAUACUGGAUAUAAUUGACAGUAACGAAUCAUGGUGUUGAGCCACUUACUUUGUAAGUGUCCUUUAUGGCUGUUUGCAAGUGGGUUGGUUAAUUAGUUUUAGUCGGAUUUUGGUCCGUCUAACUAUUCCGCCUACUGUUGGUAAACUGUUCCUUGGACAGUGCUUAUAACACCGGUCGGCAGCGAUUCAGGUUCAGGCUCUUAUCCGACCCGUCUUGAAACACGGACCAAGGAGUUUAGCGUGUACGCAAGUCAUUGGGUGUAUAAAACCCAAAGGCGCAAUG